RNAcentral lists this ribosomal RNA (492 nucleotides) under uncultured bacterium. RNAcentral's name for it is "partial 16S ribosomal RNA". It matches the Rfam family "Bacterial small subunit ribosomal RNA", at positions 28 to 507 of the family's 1533-position model. The record is from RNAcentral.
GACGAACGCUGGCGGCGUGCUUAACACAUGCAAGUCGAACGGAAAGGCCCCCACUUUUUUGGUGGGGUUGCUCGAGUGGCGAACGGGUGAUUAACACGUGGGUGAUCUGCCCUGUACUUCGGGAUAAGCUUGGGAAACUGGGUCUAUUACCGGUUAGGACCAUGGUUUAGUUUCUCAUGGUGGAAAAAUUAUUGUUUUGUUUCAGGAUGAGCUCGCGGCCUAUCAGCUUGUUGGUGGGGUAAUGGCCUACCAAGGCGUCGACGGGUAGCCGGCCUGAGAGGGUGGACGGCCAAAUUGGGACGGAGAUACGGACCAGACUACUACGGGAGGCAGCAGUGGGGAAUAUUGCACAAUGGGCGCAAGCCUGAUGCAGCGAAGCCGCGUGGGGGAUGACGGCCGUCGGGUUGUAAACUCCUUUCGUUAGGGACGAAGACGAACCUUUUUUGGGUGUGGUGACGGUACCUUUGUUAAGAAGCACCGGCUAACUACGUG